Molecule: ribosomal RNA, 1075 nt
Filed under: Photobacterium ganghwense
Lineage: Bacteria; Pseudomonadati; Pseudomonadota; Gammaproteobacteria; Vibrionales; Vibrionaceae
Description: bacterial SSU rRNA
Rfam family: Bacterial small subunit ribosomal RNA
Source: RNAcentral
UGAUGCAGCCAUGCCGCGUGUGUGAAGAAGGCCUUCGGGUUGUAAAGCACUUUCAGCAGUGAGGAAGGCGGUAUCGUUAAUAGCGGUAUUGUUUGACGUUAGCUGCAGAAGAAGCACCGGCUAACUCCGUGCCAGCAGCCGCGGUAAUACGGAGGGUGCGAGCGUUAAUCGGAAUUACUGGGCGUAAAGCGCAUGCAGGCGGCUUGUUAAGCCAGAUGUGAAAGCCCGGGGCUCAACCUCGGAAUCGCAUUUGGAACUGGCAGGCUAGAGUCUUGUAGAGGGGGGUAGAAUUUCAGGUGUAGCGGUGAAAUGCGUAGAGAUCUGAAGGAAUACCGGUGGCGAAGGCGGCCCCCUGGACAAAGACUGACGCUCAGAUGCGAAAGCGUGGGGAGCAAACAGGAUUAGAUACCCUGGUAGUCCACGCCGUAAACGAUGUCUACUUGGAGGUUGGUGUCUUGAACACUGGCUUUCGGAGCUAACGCGUUAAGUAGACCGCCUGGGGAGUACGGUCGCAAGAUUAAAACUCAAAUGAAUUGACGGGGGCCCGCACAAGCGGUGGAGCAUGUGGUUUAAUUCGAUGCAACGCGAAGAACCUUACCUACUCUUGACAUCCACGGAAUCCUGCAGAGAUGCGGGAGUGCCUUCGGGAACCGUGAGACAGGUGCUGCAUGGCUGUCGUCAGCUCGUGUUGUGAAAUGUUGGGUUAAGUCCCGCAACGAGCGCAACCCUUAUCCUUGUUUGCCAGCACUUCGGGUGGGAACUCCAGGGAGACUGCCGGUGAUAAACCGGAGGAAGGUGGGGACGACGUCAAGUCAUCAUGGCCCUUACGAGUAGGGCUACACACGUGCUACAAUGGCAUAUACAGAGGGCAGCAAGACCGCGAGGUGGAGCGAAUCCCACAAAGUAUGUCGUAGUCCGGAUUGGAGUCUGCAACUCGACUCCAUGAAGUCGGAAUCGCUAGUAAUCGUGGAUCAGAAUGCCACGGUGAAUACGUUCCCGGGCCUUGUACACACCGCCCGUCACACCAUGGGAGUGGGCUGCACCAGAAGUAGAUAGCUUAACCUUCGGGAGGGCG